This 1125-nucleotide long non-coding RNA is filed under the name Bos indicus x Bos taurus (hybrid cattle). RNAcentral describes it as "lncRNA (ENSBIXG00000010938.1)". Lineage: Eukaryota; Metazoa; Chordata; Mammalia; Artiodactyla; Bovidae. The record is from RNAcentral.
AUGGCCCUUCCAUCAGGGCUAAGAUUCCAGAAAGACUCAUGGUUCUCCCAACCCCACUUCCUCCCAACACAGGUUCGGAAGCCCAGGGCCUGUGGAAGCUCAUGUGGGCAAAGCAUCCGGAACGUGCCUGGCACAGGGUCAGACCUCUCCAGUGGAACACUGCCCACCACUCCGUGGCCCCCCAGGCCCCCAGCCACUGCAGAGGCUGUCUGUGCCCGCACCCUCAAGGUCCUAAGCAGCCCCGCCCCGCAGGCGGGCAGAGCAGAGCACCCCACCUGCGGCUUCCUGUUGGGCUUCCUGAGCAUGGCCAUCCUGGCUGAAGGCCAUACCUCCCUCCAGGGAGGCCAGGGAGAAGACUCAGUACCGCCUUGGGUGUUUCCACCAGGUCUUUCCCUCUGGCAGCUCCAGGCCGCUAAACAAUCUGGGGACCAAAACCGUGAAGUCACUCAUACAAGGCUGUCCAGUGAUGGGCCAGGACCGGCAUCUCUGUGGAUGAGCCCUUCCCAUUGGUGUGACCCGGAUGCAGAGAAGACACCGCCCUCCAGAUGCCCCACCACCCCCCUGCCCGACACACACACACACACACACACACACACACACACACACAUCACAAAUACACCACACCCCCACCACACACACCACACACACACACCACACACACACACACACGCCCCAUCACACCUGCACCACACACACACACACACCACACACACAUCACAAAUACACCACACACACACAAACCCACCCACCACACACACCACACACACAGACACACAUACGGCCCACCACACCCCCACCACACCCACAUACACACAAACGGAGGGGGAAAGGUUGGAAAGAAUUUUUGAUCUGUUUCAAUAAAACACCAAACAUAGCGUUGAAGGAAAAGCCAGCAGCCCGCGGACUCCACGGUUUCCGUCCCGAUUUGCUCAUUCCAUACUCUCCAGGCUCAGGGCCUUUAAGGAACACUAGCGCGCCGAGCGCCAACACUAGGAUCCCUCCUGCGCGCGUCUCACGCGCCGCCCGCCUCCAGCGCCGAAGGCCUCGGGGCGCAAACCCGGGCGCACCCGCCCCGCCCCGCCCCCUGUCGGAAGGGGCCCCGCCCCCCAAGCGGCGUGCCCCUCC